This 2295-nucleotide long non-coding RNA is filed under the name Pan troglodytes (chimpanzee). RNAcentral's name for it is "long non-coding RNA NONPTRT005891". Lineage: Eukaryota; Metazoa; Chordata; Mammalia; Primates; Hominidae. The record is from RNAcentral.
GUCGGGCGGAGAGAAGGGGGUCGGGCGGAGAGAAGGGGGUCGGGCGGAGAGAAGGGGGUCGGGCGGAGAGAAGGGUGCGGGCGGACCGGGGCGACCCCUGGGUGAUAGGAGAGCCGCGGUGAACCCAGGGCACGGUGCUGGGGCCGCUCUGGCCGCCGCCGCCAAGCGUCACAGGAAAACAGCAACCAGGACCCCGCGGCUCCUGGCGCUUGGAGUCAGCCCGGUACCGUACCGCGUUGCUGGAGAAUGUGUCCUUGGCGCGCGCUAAGCCAGGUGAGGGACAGCGGGAAGGGGGGGCCCGUGGGCAGGAGAGGGACCAGUGGGCGGGGACAGAAUCAAUUCGCGAGCGGUGAGCCAAUGGUCGAGGGCUAAACCAAUGGGCAAGGCCUGGACCAAUGGGCGAGUGCUGGACCAAUGGACGAGGGAUGGGCCGGGCCUGGACCAAUGGGCGAGGGCUGGACCAAUGGCCACGGGCUGGGCGGUGGCUGGACCAAUGGGAAAAGGAGGAUUUCACCUCGUGGAAUGCUCAGGGGAUGAAGGGAGUAUUCCUUUAUCUAGCUUCUACUUUGACAUAAUUUCUCACCUACAGAAAAGUUGCAAGAAUCCCAAAAGGAGGCUGACUAGGGUGGCUCACGUCUGUUUCCCAAUGCUUUGGGAGGCCAAGGAGAGAGAAUCGCUUGAGCUCAGGAGUUUGAGACCAGCCUGGGGAACAUAGGGAGACCACGUCUUUAGUAAAAAUUAAAAUUAAGACCGGGAGGGGUGGCUUACGUCUGUAAUCUCAGCACUUUCGGAGGCCAAGGUGGGUAGAUCACCUGAGGUCGGAAGUUAGAGAACAGCCUGACCAACAUGGAGAAACUCAGUCUCUACUAAAAAUCCAAAACUAGCCAGGCGUGGUAGCGCACACCUGUAAUCCCAGCUACUCGGGAGGCUGAGGCAGGAGAAUCGCUUGAAUCCGGGAGGCAGAGUGCAGGGACCAGCCCCACAGGGUCGGUGGGUCUCUCCCCGUGUGCGGCGAUGAGAGAGGGUAGAAAUAAAGACACAAGACAAAGAGAUAAAAGAAAAGACAGCUGGGCCCAGGGGACCACUACCACCAAUGUGCGGAGACCGGUAGUGGCCCCGAAUGUCUGGCUGCGCUGUUAUUUACUGGAUGCAAGCAAAAGGGGCAGGGUAAAGAGUGUGAGUCAUCUCCAAUGAUAGGUAAGGUCACGUGGGUCACGUGUCCACUGGACAGGGGGCCCUUCCCUGCCUGGCAGCCGAGGCAGAGAGAGAGAGGAGACAAAGAGAAAGACAGAUUACACCAUUAUUUCUGCAUAUCAGAGACUUUUAGUACUUUCACUAAUUUUCUACUGCUAUCUAGAAGGCAGAGCCAGGUGUACAGGAUGGAACAUGAAGGCGGACUAGGAGCGUGACCACUGAAGCACAGCAUCACAGGGAGACGGUUAGGUCUCUGGAUAACUGUGGGCGAGCCUGACUGAUGUCAGGCCCUCCACAAGAGGUGGAGGAGCAGAGUCUUCUGUAAACUCCCCCCGGGAAAAGGAGACUCCCUUUCCCGGUCGGCUAAGUAGCGGGUGUUGUUCCUUGACACUUUUCGCUACAGCUAGACCAUGGUCCCCCUGGCAACGGGCGUCUUCCCAGACGCUGACAUCACCGCUAGACCAAGGAGCCCUCUGGUGGCCCUGUCCGGGCAUAACAGAAGGCUCGCACUCUUGUCUUCUGGUCACACCUCACUAUGUCCCCUCAGCUCCUAUUAUGGUAUGAGGACACCACUUCUCCUGUUGUCCUUCCCAGUUUCUCCCCAACCUCCCCUUUUCCCUAGUUUAUAAGACAGGAGAAAAGAGAGAAAGCAAAAAGUUGGAAAGAAACAGAAGUAAGAUAAAUAGCUAGACGACCUUGGCGCCACCACCUGGCCCUGGUGGCUAAAAUAAUAAUAUUAUUAUUAACCCCUGACCAAAACUACUGGUGUUAUCUGUAAACUGCAGACAUUGUAUGAGAAAGCACUAUAAAACUUUUUGUUCUGUUAACUGAUGUUUGUAGCCCCCAGUCACGUUCCUCACGCUUACUUGAUCUAUUACGACUUUUUCACGUAGACCCCUUAGAGUUGUAAGCCCUUAAAAGGGCUAGGAAUUUCUUUUUCAGGGAGCUCGGCUCUUAAGACACGAGUCUGCUGACGCUCCUGACUGAAUAAAAAAACCUCUUCCUUCUUUAAUCCGGUGUCUGAGGCGUUUUGUCUGCAACUCGUCCUGCUACACUAUCUCUGUAUGGCCUGGUUUUUCCUAGGUUAUGAUUAUAGAGCGG